RNAcentral lists this ribosomal RNA (783 nucleotides) under uncultured foraminiferan McM11. Its description in RNAcentral is "SSU rRNA". It matches the Rfam family "Eukaryotic small subunit ribosomal RNA", at positions 1159 to 1678 of the family's 1831-position model. Lineage: Eukaryota; Foraminifera. The record is from RNAcentral.
UAAGGGCACCACAAGAACGCGUGGAGCAUGUGGCUUAAUUUGACUCAACGCGGGAAAGCUUAUCGGGUCCGGACACACUGAGGAUUGACAGGCGAGAUAUACUUUUUGCUAUAUCGCUACAUUUGUAAGUCCUUUCAUGAUUGUGUGAUAGGUGGUGCAUGGCCGUUCUUAGUUCGUGGAGUGAUCUGUCUGCUUAAUUGCGUUUCAGAUAAAAGGCACUAUACUGCGAGGUGUAUCGUGACUUGUUUACGUAUACGCUGAGCGGAUAUGCCUUUGAAAGCAACGAACGUGACCUCAGCUCGAUGUUAUGUACAUAUUAUAAGUACAAAUAACCUUCGAGGACUGCCAUGGUGUAAACCAGGAGGAAGGUUGAGGCAAUAACAGGUCUGUGAUGCCCUUAGAUGUUCCGGGCUGCACACGUGCUACAAUGAUUGUUGCAGAAAGUAUCUGCAUAAGCAAGCCACUAUAGGUUUAUUCCUAUAGGCUAGGCUUCAGUAUACUCUUUAUUGAGUAAACAAAAGACCUAUCUCGAAAGUUCGAUAGGCAAUCAAUUCCAAGUGAUAAUCUCUCACAUACCCCGCACAAGUCCAAGCAAGAGUGUAAGCCGCAAUAUGAGUUUACUCGUAAUGUGAACUUCGCCUUGCUGUGCUCUGUAAAUUCAUGGUCGGGACAGACCAUUGAAUAAUUGUUGGUCUCGGUCUCAACUAGGAAUGCCUUGUACGGGUCUCUGGUUCAACAAACCACCCGGAAUACGUCCCUGCCCUUUGUACACACCGCCCGUCA